This is a non-coding RNA of Myodes glareolus (Bank vole), 423 nucleotides long. The record is from RefSeq and is a predicted model, not a curated record. Lineage: Eukaryota; Metazoa; Chordata; Mammalia; Rodentia; Cricetidae.
CACAAAUCCAGCAGGUUUCCAUGAUCAGCCUCAGCUGACAUUAUACUCAAGGAACAAGGCAAACUGACUUAGGGAUGAUAGAAACAUUGACCCCAACAUGGUAUGCGCGGUAUGUUAGGCUCCAUGGUGUAAAGAGCCUCACUGUGACUGAUUCGACAUCACAGAAGGCGAGGCAGAUGCCGCCACACCGAGGGCUCAGUGGGAGAGCCAGGAUAAUGAGGCAUUUUGAAACCACAGACCUUGUCAGGAAGACAGAAACUGGGAAAAGGGCUAAGGUGCUGAGUGAUUAUUUCUCAAAGGAGCAAUGGAACACAAAAUGAAUCUCAGUUUGGGUGAAGUCAGGAAGAGGAGGAAAGAAGAUGUGGUGAGAAUUGUUUACCACUAGAUGUAGUUUAGCUUUAAUGCCUGGUCUCAUUGCGAUGU